UGGGGAAUUUUGGACAAUGGGCGAAAGCCUGAUCCAGCAAUGCCGCGUGUGUGAAGAAGGCCUUCGGGUUGUAAAGCACUUUUGUCCGGAAAGAAAUCCUUGGCUCUAAUGCAGUCGGGGGAUACGGUACCGGAAGAAUAAGCACCGGCUAACUACGUGCCAGCAGCCGCGGUAAUACGUAGGGUGCAAGCGUUAAUCGGAAUUACUGGGCGUAAAGCGUGCGCAGGCGGUUUGCUAAGACCGAUGUGAAAUCCCCGGGCUCAACCUGGGAACUGCAUUGGUGACUGGCAGGCUAGAGUAUGGCAGAGGGGGGUGAGAAUUCCACGUGUAGCAGUGAAAUGCGUAGAGAUGUGGAGGAAUACCGAUGGCGAAGGCAGCCCCCUGGCAAGUACUGACGCUCAUGCACG
Molecule: ribosomal RNA, 407 nt
Filed under: uncultured bacterium
Lineage: Bacteria
Description: partial 16S ribosomal RNA
Rfam family: Bacterial small subunit ribosomal RNA
Source: RNAcentral